This is a long non-coding RNA of Aplysia californica (California sea hare), 371 nucleotides long. RefSeq lists it as uncharacterized. The transcript is spliced from 2 exons. Lineage: Eukaryota; Metazoa; Mollusca; Gastropoda; Aplysiida; Aplysiidae. The record is from RefSeq and is a predicted model, not a curated record.
UUUGUUUUUUUCUUUCUUUUUUUCCUGUCUCUGGAUCAGAUGCAAAAUCUUGUACGCAAUAUGUGAAUUGUUUCAUCGAUCCCUGCGUGUCUGCUGUAUGUCCUGGCCACCCGGAGGCUACUUGCAAGAGCAACUACUGUGGAGGUUGUAAUUUCAACUUUUACCUCAACGAUGUGGAUGUGACGAGCGAGUGUGCUUCUAACUUUUAAAGAGAAGACCCCAGGAGUAGGUCAAGGUCGUGUGUUUGACCCGGUGCAGAAUUAAGUACGUUUACUGAUAACUAUGCUUGGCUUAACCAUGACCUCGACUGUGCAGUGCAGAAGUGUAGCGAAAAAAACGACUUGAAUAAAGUUAUGAGUGCACAUGCUGUU